Molecule: ribosomal RNA, 274 nt
Filed under: uncultured bacterium
Lineage: Bacteria
Description: partial 16S ribosomal RNA
Rfam family: Bacterial small subunit ribosomal RNA
Source: RNAcentral
AUACGGAGGGGGCUAGCGUUGUUCGGAAUUACUGGGCGUAAAGCGCGCGUAGGCGGGUUGGCAAGUUGAAGGUGAAAUCCCAGGGCUCAACCCUGGAACUGCCUCCAAAACUGCCAGUCUUGAGUUCGGAGGAGGUGAGUGGAAUUCCUAGUGUAGAGGUGAAAUUCGUAGAUAUUAGGAAGAACACCAGUGGCGAAGGCGACUCACUGGUCCGAUACUGACGCUGAGGUGCGAAAGCGUGGGGAGCAAACAGGAUUAGAAACCCCAGUAGUCC